RNAcentral lists this transfer RNA (77 nucleotides) under Bacteroidota bacterium. RNAcentral's name for it is "Bacteroidetes bacterium tRNA-Asp". It matches the Rfam family "tRNA". Rfam says of the family: Transfer RNA (tRNA) molecules are approximately 80 nucleotides in length. Their secondary structure includes four short double-helical elements and three loops (D, anti-codon, and T loops). The record is from RNAcentral. Lineage: Bacteria; Pseudomonadati; Bacteroidota.
GGUGACGUAGUUCAAUUUGGUAGAGCAGGGGAUUGUCUAUCCUCAAGUUGUGGGUUCAAGUCCCAUCGUUACCGCAA